Long non-coding RNA from Camelus dromedarius (Arabian camel), 471 nucleotides. RefSeq lists it as uncharacterized. The record is from RefSeq and is a predicted model, not a curated record. The transcript is spliced from 3 exons. Lineage: Eukaryota; Metazoa; Chordata; Mammalia; Artiodactyla; Camelidae.
CUGAAGUGCAGGUUCACAAAACUCUGUGACAAAGGGCGUAUUUCGGAGACGUUAGAAGUGCUACAGAAGCAGACGGGAAAGAAAAACCAAUGGCCUUUCGGUCGCAUUGGGAAGCCAGAGUUGGCACAGAGGGACGGAGCAGACCUUCAGGGUCCGAGCUGUGGACUGCGGGAGCCCAAGCUGCUCUUCCCGCCAGGAGCGCCAAAGCAAGACGCCUGUGGGAAACGGGACAGGAAUCUCAGAGAAUUCCUCUCAGAGUGCACUCUACGUGGGUGACUGAAGUGGCUAAUGGCUUGAUGCUCACAGAACUGAAAUGGCAGAAGAAAAGGAGAGGAAAUGUUAUGGCGCUGUUUUCGUGGGGAGGAUGUGGACUCUGGUGAAAGAGGCAGACUGUGGCUUGACUGGAGAGUGUUGGAGGAAGUAUGUUGUAAGUAAGAAAUACCGUAUUUAUAUAUGUGGAAUAUAUACGUA